GUGCUCACUUUGGCAGCACAUAUACUAAAAUUGCAACGAUACAGAGAAGAUUAAUAUGGCCCCUUCGCAAGGAUGACAGGCAAAUUCGUAGAACGAUAGCUAUAAUG
Small nuclear RNA from Perognathus longimembris pacificus (Pacific pocket mouse), 107 nucleotides. The record is from RefSeq and is a predicted model, not a curated record. NCBI's taxonomy places the organism in Eukaryota, Metazoa, Chordata, Mammalia, Rodentia, Heteromyidae.